RNAcentral lists this unclassified non-coding RNA (242 nucleotides) under Hevea brasiliensis (rubber tree). Lineage: Eukaryota; Viridiplantae; Streptophyta; Magnoliopsida; Malpighiales; Euphorbiaceae. The record is from RNAcentral.
UUGCUUUGCUAUGUCAGAAUUGGGUCAUGGAAGUAAUGUACGUGAAGGUCAUCAAUCUUUAUGGUCUGAGGCAUGGGGCAUCAGGCUGGCCUCUGUUUGGUUGUUAUUGCUCUCUUUUGUUUAUUUAUAGUAACUUUUCCCAUGGUUAAUGUCUAUAGGUCAGAGGAAUUGAAACUCUGACUGUUUAUGAUUCGAAAACUGGGGAGUUUGUCAUCAACACUCCUUGUGAAUCAGCUCAGAAG